GUGCUUGCUUUGGCAGCACAUAUGCUAAAAUUAGAAUGAUACAGAGAUUAGCGUGACCCCUGCGCAAGGAUGACACACAGAUUCGUGAAGCAUUCCUUAUUUUU
Small nuclear RNA from Macaca fascicularis (crab-eating macaque), 104 nucleotides. NCBI's taxonomy places the organism in Eukaryota, Metazoa, Chordata, Mammalia, Primates, Cercopithecidae. The record is from Ensembl.